GUGGGUAUGGCGGAAUAGGCAGACGCGCUAGCCUCAGACGCUAGUGAGUAAAAUCGUGCAGGUUCAAGUCCUGUUACCCACACCA
This 85-nucleotide transfer RNA is filed under the name Oscillospiraceae bacterium. RNAcentral's name for it is "tRNA-Leu". It matches the Rfam family "tRNA". From Rfam's summary of the family: Transfer RNA (tRNA) molecules are approximately 80 nucleotides in length. Their secondary structure includes four short double-helical elements and three loops (D, anti-codon, and T loops). Lineage: Bacteria; Bacillati; Bacillota; Clostridia; Eubacteriales; Oscillospiraceae. The record is from RNAcentral.